Non-coding RNA from Misgurnus anguillicaudatus (oriental weatherfish), 4295 nucleotides. The record is from RefSeq and is a predicted model, not a curated record. Lineage: Eukaryota; Metazoa; Chordata; Actinopteri; Cypriniformes; Cobitidae.
GUAGUUUUCAGGUAGAGCACAAAAAUUCAAUAAAUUAAUCAAUAAUGCUGCAUAUUCUUUACUGUGUAAAUUGGAUUAAUUCUUAUUAAAGUUACAAAAGUUAUUCAAUCAAUAUAUAUCAACAUUAUAUUUUCUUUGUGGUUUGAUUAACAUUAAAAACAGCAUCAGGUUUAUACACUCUAAAAAUGCUGGAUUGUUUUUAACCAACCCAGUCUCACAGAGUUGUGUAUAAAUAGCACGAAGUGUGAAAAUCACAAAAUACAAACGCCAAAUUCCAACGCUUUGUCAUUUUAUUUAUUGUUUUUUUUUUUGCAAUUUUUUUACCAUUGUCGCUUGGGUAGGGUUAGAACAACUUUUUGUUACAUAAAAAUGACACCCUAACCCAAACCCCAAUUCUAACUCCAAGCGACCAUGGCUUAAAAAUAGACAAAAACAUGGAGAAAGAUGUAUAUUACAUAACCUCCUUAAGCAAAUCUCUAACCCUAAACACAAGCGAAAAUGGUUUAAAAAACAGAAAAAAAUUUGAAACCAAUAGAUAAAACGACAAAAAAGAUGCGCCAUUUAAGUGAUUGGGAAGGACUAGCGUAUCAUAUGCUAUGUAUUGCAUGAUUUUCACACUUCGUGCUAUUUAUACAUAUCUACAUGAGACUGGUUAGCUUUUAACCCAUGGCUGGGACAAUAUUAGACAGAACGUCUCGGUUACGUAUGUAACCCUCGUUCCCUGAAGGAAGGGAACGGAGACGUCACGUCGUGACCGACGUAUUGGGAACGCGCCUCGCGAGACCAAUCUACUUUGAGAACUACUAACACGCCAAUGAACUUGGCUCGGGUAUUUAAACGAGCCCCGCCGCUCGGGUAUUUAAACGAGGAUCAGGUGCAAUAUCAUUAGCUAGAUUUUUCGCUGAGAAAGCUGGCAACAGUGCACGGCCUAAUUCAGCAAUGGAACAGAACUGUGGCGACGGGACGUGACGUCUCCGUUACCUUCCUUCAGGGCACGAGGGUUACAUAACCGAGACGUUCCCUUUCAGUCGGUCACUACGACGUCACGUCGUGUUCGACGUAUUGGGAAACCCUACCAAAGCACCACAGAAGCUGAACCCUUCCAGUGCCUGCAAAAGCCCUCCAGCCUCCACGUAGGGGGCGGAUGCUAAGGCUUACUGCAGAAGGCCAGUCACUACCUGUUCCUUAAAGCUCACGUAACACACGCUGUUUCUGCAUUUCUGAUGUUAAUCUGGAGUACCUAUAGAGUAGUAUGACAUCCUUUAUAUCUCUGAAGAGUCUUUAGUUUAAUCAGAUUUAUAAAAGAAAGAUUAGCUUUACCGAAUCUUUCCGAUAAUGUACGAAAAAAUGAAGAAGGAGGAGUUACUUUCGCAGGAGGAGCGAGUACGAGUCAUGCAACACUAUACAACACUGUUUUAACUUAUGAUUCACUACAUGUUCGUGUCAUUUAUAUAAUAUGCACGCGACUAUUUCCAACAUAAGACAGAAGUCUUACUUGCCGCGUGCAACUCGUCAUGACCCGGUUGGGAAGAUCCACUGCAUCAAACACACACGCAAAACUCCGCUGCUACCCCGGAUAAUAUACUAUAUCCAUUGUUUCCAUAAGGCUGGAUGUCUUCUCCUUAAAUCCAAAAACACACUUCUUCUUUUGUGCAAUUGUUGACUUUUGAAAUUAAACAAAGCUGAGUGGCGUGAUAAGCUGUUAGCAGCUCUAGCGUCUCCCGCUGAUUGACGGGUGGGCGGGGUUUUCCGGGGGAAGUUUUCCGGUGGAAGCCCAUAUAAAGAAGUGAUACGUAUCGAAAACCCCUGAAACGUCAGUUAGAACUGUAAUAAAAAAAAACUUGCCGAAACUUGUACGAACCCUGGCGAAGUGCAUUCGGCACAGAAAUACUCUGUAACACGUCCAACUGCUGUUUUGACACUUUGCCUACGUUUAGCAUGAGGAAACCACUCUAUAACUGUGUUAAUAAGUCAGAAUGCUUGAAAUACCAUUAAACCCCCCCUUUAACCCACGACAGUGACUAGGCGAACUGGGAAGUGAACCCAUCAGGCGGGACUAGAACGCUGCAGAACUACCCUCUAGGGGGUCUACCACAUGGGUGACAUCAUGAGAGCUUAAAGCAUAACGUGAAAACCCUCUUAGUAGUAUUUCAUACUAGGGGAACGCGGAGCGUGCUCCGCUAGGGGAAUGUGGUAAGAAUGUCCACGGAAAUACACGCAUAGAGACCCAUAGGGGGCGCAAUGCGGGUGCCUAACCUAACCCAGGUUCACAUGGAAACAUCUAGUGAGAGGCUUACAGCAGAAGCUCCGCAACAUUAGCUGUCAAGGCAGUGGAGGAGUGAAAAACGCUAUUUUGCGACAUUUUUGCUAUAAAGGCUUUCCAUAAUGGUGCGGUUGUGGAGCACCAAAAUAGAAGCUGCAAGCCGACACGAGCCAGUCUCUAGUGGUCUAUUCUGAUUGGAAUAAAAGACCUGAGAGGAUACCGGCUCAACACGAACACUGUCAACCUAGUGAACGUGUUAGGUGUCGCCCAGCCAGCAGCUCUGUAGAUGUCUGUUAGCAAGGAACCACGAGCCAAUGCCCAAGAUGAUGCUACACUUUUUGUCGAAUGUGCAGGCAGAUUAAACGGGCGAGGAAUACCCUGCUUUUCAUACGCAAGGGUAAUAUUGUCCACAAUCCAAUGGGACAUCCGCUGCUUGGUGACAGCAUUCCCCUUCUGCUGACCACCGUAACAAACAAAGAGCUGUUCUGAGGUUCUAAUUAGCUUUGCGUCUGAGUUACAUACACACGUAGCGCACGCACCGGACAUAAUAAAGCCAUGGAUGGGUCUGCCUCCUCCGGGGGCAGCGCUUGCAAGUUCACCACUUGGUCUCCGAAUGGAGUAGAGGGAAUUUUGGGCACGUAGCCAGGCUGUCUCAGUAUUUAAAUGGAUUCAGCUGGCCCGAACUGUAGACACAAAUCGUUGACCGAAAAUGCAUGAAGAUCCCCUAUCCUUUUUACUGAAGCCAAAGCAAGGAGUGUUAAAGUUUUGAAAGUUAGAAACUUUACACUCACAGAAUGCAGAGGCUCAAAGGGGGCGUCCUGUAAAGCUUUCAGCACUACGGACAGGUCCCAAGGAGGAAUAGAGGGAGGACAAGAAGGAUGCUAUAGAGAUUGAUUAAUCUCUUUAAUAAUUCACGCAAAAAACAUGAUUCACACAUGCGUACACGAUUUCACAUGCAUGAAAUCUAACUCACAUACAUAAAAAUAUAUAUAUUCGCAAAAAAACGAUGUACAUACACAAAAUAAAAAUACAUAUUCAUAAAAUACGUUUCACAAACGAAAAAAACUAUUCACAAAUGUAGAACAGUGUAUGAAAAGUUUUAAAUUUUGAGUUUAUCAUGACUGUGAAUGUACGAAUCGUCUUUUUCGUGAGUGAAUUGCUUUGAAUUCGUGUGUGUUUUUUGAGACUUUGGUGGCAGUGCACUUCUCCAACGUGGGUCACUCGUACUCUUUAGCCAAUCAGAUGCAAGCUUACCAUUCAACCAAUCAUAACCCGCCAAGAGCGCAGCAUUCAAGGAGCUCAGCAUUGCACACCUUUUGCGCAAUCAACUGAAAUGAAGCUUCACGUCAUCAACCAAGCAUGGUGAACGAAGUGCGGGAUAUACGUAUUGUAUUAAAGGACUCUCGUCAUGUAAUACUGUCACAGAGCAGUUGUUCUUAUGUUCCUGGGACAGCACAUUGUUGCACUAACUCAGAGUGCACAGAACAGAAGUUCACAGCUGUACUGAAAUGGUUGAGAGCUGACACAGACCUAGAACAAUGAGGUUCUGUCUGCAAGACCCAAAGAAAUGAGCUUGCUGAUGUAUUAAGGAGUACCUUUUAAAAGAGUGUCGCCUGUAAGCUGCCUGACCUCACAGUCCUCCAAGUAGCAGAGGCGUUUAAGGACCUUGCCAGUGCUGUAGCCCCUUCGGUCACCACUAUCAGGAUGUCACAUGUCAAUUCUUUGGUGGAUUUUGGCUUUGGCAGAGUUUAGUAUGGAAGUGUGUUGUCAUACCAGCAGCAACAACACGCAACCUUAAUCGCUAUCAAGAUGCCCCAUAACUACAACCUCUGCAACUACUUGGCUACAGCCUUGACACAUCUGUUUGCUUGUUAGUUAUUUAUAUUUACAUGUUUACAUUUCUGAAGUGUAGGCAGUUAUUUACAGUAUAUUUAAAUACAUUACUGCAUGGUAAAUGUUCAAAGCCACAUGUUUACAUUCCUGCAGUGCAUGCAACACUGAAUAAAAGUUACUUACAGUAUAUUUACAUUCA